CCCUAGGGGAAUCUUCCACAAUGGACGAAAGUCUGAUGGAGCAACGCCGCGUGAACGAUGAAGGCUUUNGGGUCGUAAAGUUCUGUUGUAAGGGAAGAACAAGUGCCGCAGGCAAUGGCGGCACCUUGACGGUACCUUGCGAGAAAGCCACGGCUAACUACGUGCCAGCAGCCGCGGUAAUAA
RNAcentral lists this ribosomal RNA (183 nucleotides) under uncultured pozol bacterium #2. Its description in RNAcentral is "partial 16S small subunit ribosomal RNA". It matches the Rfam family "Bacterial small subunit ribosomal RNA", at positions 351 to 526 of the family's 1533-position model. The record is from RNAcentral.